AUAGCAACAGCAGCGUAGCUGAACAUCUUACGGAUGGCCCAGGGCUCCAAAGGCUCGUUUCCUAAGUGAGAGAGAGCCUGGCUGAAGCUGUAUUACCAUUCAUUCUCCAGCCUCCGAAGUCUCAAAGCAUCACUUCCACCAUACUCUAACUGUCAAGACAAACACAAAGGCCCAGAAACUGCCAGACUGUCUUCUGAAGUGGCUAUAAUAUUUACACUCCCAUCAGCAGUGUAGAAGGGGUCUCACUAUGUUGUCUGGAGUGCUGUGGUGGAGUGGAGUGGCUAUUCACAGAGCCUGUUCUGCUGGGACACAGAAUCACUUGCUCCAUCUCAUACAUUGAUGAUGAUUAAUUUGUAUGUGUACCUUCCAAAAAAGAUGGUUGUGUUUGAAUGGAGGCCUUCUGGACAGGAAAAUAAUCACAUCCUUCCUGAGAUAAUGAGCACACAAUUGCCUGGAUACCUGAAGGAAUGGAGACAGCGGCAGAAAACACUGCAGAGAGAUACAGUGAACCCACAUGUUGAAGCUUUCUAGUAUAAUAAAAAUUUCAACUGUUCUGUUGAAUCAUCUGCCUGAUUGGAGGCUACAGAAAAGAUGUCAUCUUAGGAGUGCUUGCUCUGAGUGAGGCUCAUCUUCAAAUCUGAAUGACCACAAGGAGAUUUGAUUAUACAUGUGAACACCUCAGAAGGCACAGCCCACCCAGAAGGCAGACAGGUCAGGCUGCUUUUUCUUCAUUGCUUGGAUUCAAUCCUCCGGGCGGCUCAGGCUCAAACAUAACUUAAGCAUGAUUAAACUUUAGAAGAAGCUGCCAGGAAGACUGUGAAAUCUUCAUGCCCAAGGAUCCCUAAAAUUAGGAGCAACAACCACUUGGCUCAGACGGUUUAUGGAGGCAAAGGUUUGGAUGGGAUUAGAGAUUUCUAAAUGUGAGUUCGUGUCCUCUGCCAGACCACCUUACUUCCACCAUUCCUCAGCAAAUCAAGAAAAACAGGAGAAAAGACAUGCCUUUCCAUAAGUUAAAUCUAUUCUGUUUUAAUUCUAUAUUAUAUCUGCUGUACAACUUCUUUUGUUUGUAACACCAUAUUGUUGCUAGUAACUGGAAAUUAAUUUUCACAUGCCUCAGCUUAGAAAAAUAAAAAGCAGCCCUGCAUCAAUCCC
This 1152-nucleotide long non-coding RNA is filed under the name Homo sapiens (human). RNAcentral's name for it is "long intergenic non-protein coding RNA 635". Lineage: Eukaryota; Metazoa; Chordata; Mammalia; Primates; Hominidae. The record is from RNAcentral.